AUUGAACGCUGGCGGCAGGCCUAACACAUGCAAGUCGAACGAGUGGCGGACGGGUGAGUAAUUUCUGGGAAACUGCCUGAUGGAGGGGGAUAACUACUGGAACCGGUAGCUAAUACCGCAUACAAUCAGAUGUGCCCAGAUGGGAUUAGCUAGUUGGUGGUGUAACGGCUCACCAAGGCGCCGAUCCCUCGCUGGUAUGAGAGGAUGACCAGUCACCAUGGAACGGAUACACGGUCCAGACUCCUACGGGAGGCAGCGGUGGGGAAUAUUGCACAAUGGGCGAAUGCCUGAUGCAGCCAGGCCGGGUGUGUGAAGAAGGUCUUCGGGUUGUAAAGUACUUUCAGCUGGGAGGCGUUAUCCGCAGAAGAAGCACCGGCUAACUCCGUGCCAGCCGCCGCGGUAAUAC
This 406-nucleotide ribosomal RNA is filed under the name uncultured bacterium. RNAcentral's name for it is "partial 16S ribosomal RNA". It matches the Rfam family "Bacterial small subunit ribosomal RNA", at positions 30 to 526 of the family's 1533-position model. The record is from RNAcentral.